Non-coding RNA from Pogona vitticeps (central bearded dragon), 581 nucleotides. The record is from RefSeq and is a predicted model, not a curated record. Lineage: Eukaryota; Metazoa; Chordata; Lepidosauria; Squamata; Agamidae.
GUCACCUGUCUCCGGGCGAAAGCUCAUCCCUCUGAAGGGAGGGCUGGGCAAGAACGGCCGUUUCCCCUACCCCCUUUCUGCCCCGUCGAGUGACUGACAGGCUGCCCUCCAAGCCCUACCCGCGGCUCCUCUCUGCGCACGCGCGAGAUCCCCUCACUGGCUGCUCGGAUGGCUCUCCCUCUGACGCAUGCGCUCCUCUUCCCCCCACAGAGCGGUCUUGGGGAGAGGGGUUCUGUGGCGCCUGCGCAGUUGAGAAGGCGGCCAGAACGUCUCGCCUCAGGAAGGCGGUUUUAGUGGCCUUCUGUGGCCUUAGAGGAGUUGACCCCAUAUUGACCCCAACAGAGCAUGGGAUUUUCUGGAUCAAGGCUUGAGAUCUCUACGCAAGGACCUCCAGCUGGAGAUAUCUGGGAACAACGUCUUUCCAGGUGAAUAAGAGGACAAAUGGAAUUCUGUGGAGCCAGUCGUUCUUUCAGUGGGGAAAAAAAGUAUGAAGGACACAAAAAUUGACACACUUAAAAGGUGGAAAAGGGAAGAAGGGAAGCCAGAAAACAAGAGGGAAAAAGAAAUCUCCAGCUUCUCCU